This is a non-coding RNA of Pseudomonadales bacterium RIFCSPLOWO2_12_59_9, 114 nucleotides long. NCBI's taxonomy places the organism in Bacteria, Pseudomonadati, Pseudomonadota, Gammaproteobacteria, Pseudomonadales. The record is from Rfam.
UUCGGCUCGCAACGGUUUCUCCGUUGCCCUCUACCAGCCGUCGCCACUCCAUUCUUAUUCACCUAAGUUCACCGAAUAAGUGCAGUGUUCCUGUCGCCUUUCUCGCGACGCGGC